UCUCUCUCUCUCUCUCUCUCUCUCUCUCUCUCUCUCUAUCUCUCUCUCUAUUUUUAUGUCUCUCUCACACACACACACACACACACAAAUGCACUGACGAGUGGUUCAGCCCUGAGGCAGCCCAGGCAGUCAGCGAGGGAAAUUUAGAUGGGAGGGAAACAGCAAGCACAAAAGGGUCAUGAUGUAACCACAGGAACAGCAGCACAACAACAAAUGACCAAGAGAUACCGAGACGUCAGACAGAUAUGGUGAUAUCUUCCACUGUGUGCACAGAAUGAGGCUUUGACACAUGCAUCACCAGGAGGAAUGACACGAAAGAUAAGUAAUCUCCUGCUGGACCCUGUUCCUGACCAAGUGACGGCACAGAGGGUGGAAAGCUGCAGACAUGUCCCACUUUCACCUCGGUGUCAGAGCACUCAGUCUGUCCUCCUAAGUGACUACAGAACAGUGGCAGUGAGAGUCAGUGGGGAAACAGUGGUUGUGUUCUGUACUAGAGACUAGGAGGGGUGUGGUGCGGCGUGGUGCGGUGCCGCGUGGCGGAACAACGACGAAGAGCCAGCAGGGUCACAUUCCACAGGGAGCUGGUUGGCAGACGGAGGGGCCCGCUUGGAUCAACUCUACAACACUGUUCCUCUCGGCUGUUCCUCUACAGGCACGCACACACACACACACACACAGAUAUGUGUACACACAGACAUGGUAUAUCUCACUACACAGUGUGAUUGUGACAUGUCCAGCAUUCACUGUA
Molecule: long non-coding RNA, 748 nt
Organism: Clupea harengus (Atlantic herring)
Lineage: Eukaryota; Metazoa; Chordata; Actinopteri; Clupeiformes; Clupeidae
Source: Ensembl